RNAcentral lists this long non-coding RNA (4890 nucleotides) under Brassica napus (rape). RNAcentral's name for it is "long non-coding RNA (BNAP_LNC016322)". Lineage: Eukaryota; Viridiplantae; Streptophyta; Magnoliopsida; Brassicales; Brassicaceae. The record is from RNAcentral.
CGAAUAUUCUCCUCAAAUUUAAAUAUUGAAAAAGGCAAAGCGUAAACGUACCCCUUUAUAUUGGCUGUUGAAGGGUCCAUGAGAAGCAACAAUGUAAGGUUGGUAAUAACUUGGAACAGAGAGGUUCGAGUUUGGAGAAACGCCGUACUGCUGGAAGUAAGCAGGGACAGAUAGAGAAAAGAAUAGCGAUAACCCCACGAUUAUGAUGUUCCUCGAGCUUCCAGCUUCACUGUAACGUAAGUUUGAAAGACCUAAAGCCGUAAACAUUGCCCACAUAAAGCAUAGAAGAGAAGCAACCAUCACUUGAGGUAUUGAUGCUAUAAACCCUCCAACUUUACCUGAGGAUAUUAUCAAAAAAGCUUCCAUCAGAUCUCUAUAAUGAUGAAUCGUAUAGUUUACAUGUCUCUCUGGGAUUUUGAACCGAACCGAACCAAAAUUUUCGGUUAGGAGUUGGGUUUGCUUUGGUUUCUUUUUUAAAAAGUUCCUUUUUUGGUUCAGCAAUCUGUUACUUGGGUUAUUUUUUUAAAACAAAUCCGGCGGUAUCGUCGACGGCCUCACGCGCGACGUUGAGGCCGAGUUUGGUGAGCGUGUGCUCGCACUGAGCGAGUCCCUGAGGGUGAGAGAUAACGCGCGUGAGGAACUCUUUCCGCACGCCGGGGAGAGCCAAGAGACAGUGGUGAACAGGAAGCUGAACCUCUCCGACGAUGUGGAGACGGUGACGGAGGAGAAGAUCGUAGUUACGAUGAAUCGAACCUCCGAGAGAGUUCUCAACAGGCAAAACCGCGCGAUCCGCGAUCCAAAGCUCAACCGCUUGAAACGCGACUUCGAAUUGAUCGCACGGAAUCGCUUGACAGUUAGGGUAAGCUUUACCGGCGGCGGCUUCGGAGUACGCGCCGGGGACGCCUUGGUACGCGACUCGGAGAUUAGAUCCAUGCAUCGGAGCGGGAGAUAGAUCCGUAAUGCUGAGAGGCGUCGUCUUCUUCGACUGCUGAUUCGGAGCCAACGAGUUGUUAUCGAACGGUACGAGAUUCAGAGACGAGGUCUCGGCGGAGCCGUUGCUGUGACCGUUAACGGAGGAGAGUAGAGAAUCGGAUUGUUCCUGAGAAACGACUUUGCUAGAGAGAAUGGCCCAAGAGCUUUGCCAAUCUGAUCUGCUUGAGCCAACUGCGGAAGAGUCGGAUCUCUUGCCGCAAUGAAUGAAGCGUCUCCGUGAGGCCGUUACCGUCGCCGGAGUUUGGGAAUAUCGGAGCAUUGGAUUGUGAGGAGAAGAAGGUAGAAGAGUUCUCAUUGUUGAAUUGAGAGUGUGAGAAUGAUGUUCAAGCUUUGUUAAAGGAGGAAGACAAGUUGAGUGUUAUAGGAGAAGAGAAGAAGAGCGUGGAGUGCUCUCCUGCCUCUCACGAUCCUUCACCUACCACCAUAUACACACAUUUGUUUUUUUUCUUUGUUGUUGUGUCAUGUGUGUUUAGUUUGGUUAAACAACACUUGGACUUGGUGGUGGGCCAAACCCCAUAAAAUCCCAAAAGAUGUAUAGGUUUUGCCGUUUUGUAAAGUCUUUAAAAAUCAUGAUUUUUUCUAAAAAUAAUAAAAUAUCAUCUAGGAGUUUUUUAUAAACAUUAAUUUCUAUAAAUUGGUUUAUAACUUAAAAAAAAAAAACUUUUAUAACCUUCUUUCAGUAUCCAUUGCUACUUUAUAAAAUUUUAUUAAUAUGCUAGAAAAUUUAGAAAUUUAUCAAACAUUUGAUUAUGUGAAAACAAAUGUUUUUGACGCUUGUAAGUCGAAAACAAAUGUUUUUGACCCUUGUAAGUCAAAAACAAAUGUCACAUUAAAAUUUGAUUAAGAUCUAGAUUUUUAAAUAACAAAUAAUAUAUUAGUUUUCUCCAGUUUUAAAAAUCUUCUCAAUUCAAAUUUAUAAAAAAAUGAUUGAUAUUUUUUACUUUAAAACUUAUAUGGAUCACACAAAACAAACAUUAUUUUCUAAACAUUUAUAGUUGAUAGAUUUACUAUUCAAAUAUUAUGUACACAAUUUCUUUUCAGAUUAAUACAAAAUUAGAAAUAAACUAAUUUAAUCUGAACAAAAUCCAUGUAUUUUUUGUUUAAGCUGUAACUAUAACUAUUUUAUUCUUAAUUUUGUGCAACCAUCAAUUUGUUGAAAUAUAAUUUGUGAUGCACGUUGUUGUAUGUGUGGGGCGGGGCAAAAGAGGAAUCAACUAACUAACCAUGUAUUUUUCGAGUGUCCCCCAGUUUUACAAACAUGGACAUUUUCUAUGAUUUUUUUCUCUCCAGCGAUUUUUCCAUCAUCGUCCAUUUUCACCAAUAUGGAUUAUCUAUUUUGGAGACUACCAAAAGAGGAGGAUUUAAUUAUUAUCCAUAGAUAUUAUGAUAUAUUUGGAAGACUAGAAAUGACAAGAUUUAUUCAAACAGGGACGGCAACCCACAGGAGAUAUUGUGGAUGGCCGAUGUGGAAAGUAAGAUAUGGAUGGAGGCACAGUUAACCGUGAAUAUGGUCCAAUGGAGAAUUUCUAUAGCGGGAGUUUACAACAAUCUGCGGCUCUAGCCUUGGAAGGUUUUAGAGUUUGUUAUAUUGACGGAGCUUGGAAAGAGGAAGACAUGUUUACGGGACAAGGGUGGUUUUGCAGAAAGAGUGGCUCGGCUGAUGUCAUGAUGGGAGCAAUGAAUCUUCGUAGAAGUUUGUCACCUUUGCAUGCUGAGUUUGAAGCACUAAUUUGGGCAAUGGAAUGCAUGAAAACCUUCCAAUUUUCUGACGUAGUUUUUGCGACAGAUUGUUCUCAGUUGGUGAGGAUGGUGUCGACACCUGAUGAAUGGCCUGCUUUUUCUACACACAUAGAAGAAUUCAACCGCGGUAAGACUUUUUUCCCUCACUUCCGGAGCAGAUAUAUCUUUAGAGCACAAAAUACCUUGGCGGAUAAGCUUGCACGCGGUGCGAAGAAUUCUCCUUCAGCUUUGCUUUAUGUCGAUUCAGUCCCACCGGUUUAGUUUGCUAGACCGCUUGGAGUUUCUAAUUAGUUUUUAGUGGGUGUUGUAAAAAAAACAAAAAAAAAUUGUGCAAUCAUUCAGUAUUAAUUGCAACUAUUACAAAUAGUUUACUCUCUUUUUGUUUACAAAUUCGGACAUAUAAUCAACAACAAAAAAUAUGGUAGAUUACAUAAAAUAUGCAGAAUACCCUAGCCGCUUACUUAUGAUGGACAUUUAGCUAAUUGUUGUUUUUUGUUGAUUAUAUGUCCUAAUUUCCUUGGAUUUAUUUGAUCACUUAUCAUUAGCUAACUAUAUUUGAAUAUCUGCCCAUUUAUUUAUAGUACAUAUUUAUGCUUUUUUUUUUUUUUUGGAACAAAGUACAUAUUUAUGCUCUUGCUUGAUGUAAUAGUGGUAAGGGCCGGAAAAGUUUAUACCAAUCUACUUUUUUUUGUCAACAUAUCCACCUACCUUUUGUUUUGUAUUAAGUACCAAACCUUUCCAAAUUAUUGCAUAUUUUGUAUACUAUUUGUAACCAACUCUUCAAAGUCCAUACAGAUAAGCUACAAAUGUAAUUAAAAGUCCCCACAAUUUUCUUUGAAUAAAAUUCCGUACUCAGGCUUCCUUUGAAUGGAACGUUAAACCCACCACAUAUAACUACCACGGUUGUGAGAAAUUUGUUCGAGAUUCAGCUUGUAGUUUGAGUCCGGUUUGAUGGUGAUAAACUGAAGAUGAGCCUUUGGACUAAAGAUUGGGCUAAGUAAGGCAUUCAUAAGCCUAAACGCAAAGUAACAGAAGAAGAUACUUUGGUAAAGUGAUGCUGGCAUGGACGAUGUUCAUCGAUAAGUCAGUUAAAAGAAAGAGAAGCCCACAAGGGUAUCGAAGGAGAAUGAUUCAGGGUGAAUUAGCUAGUUUGAUCCAAGGUUUUGAAAACCUAAAACACACAAGACAGAAAGGAAAAGAAAGGAGGGAUUCGAGAGAAGAGAAACAUAAAGAGUCUUGGAUAAUUAGCUGUAUGAACAUGUGUCUGACAACGUUAAAUCGAUGGUUGUUAUGGUACCAUCAUCCUUGUAGAGGCUAUUCUUGCGGGUAGACAGUGGAUGUUCUUCUGAUGGGUAUUUAUAAUUACAUCUAUUUAUACAUGCAAUAAACUACCCAAACCAAGAGGUUACAUAUUUAGUAAAAGUGAAAGAAAUAAUUAAAUCUAGUUAUAAAAGGAUUGAUCAUAAUAGUCCAUAUAACUUACAACAACAACAACAACAACAACAACAACAACAUCCAAUGCCACGUGCUCUGUUCAACAAACAAACUUGCGAUCCAAGAAAACUCCAAGGUGUCAUAUAAAACUGAGAGAGACUAAAAAAACAGAGGAAAGGAAAACCAAAAGAAAAUCUAAUUAUUUACCACUUUGCCAUUGAGAUUUUUGUUUCCAUUCAAAUGCCAACCCAUUUGACCCAUCUGAAAAACCUUCCCACUCUAAACGGCAGCUCAUAGUCUUUAGCAAGUGCUGGUUCUCUCGUCACAGUCUCACUGUCUGACCAAACAUAAACCCCACGCUCUUGCCUACUCCCAGGAACAGUAUUGUCCAAAACCACUGCCAUGAUGAACGCAAUCACCAUGUUCAUCGAUAAUAGCGUGUUCAUCACAUAGUUCACCUGCACAAAACUCUUCACAAGUUUACGAAUAUUCUCCUCAAAUUUAAAUAUUGAAAAAGGCAAAGCGUAAACGUACCCCUUUAUAUUGGCUGUUGAAGGGUCCAUGAGAAGCAACAAUGUAAGGUUGGUAAUAACUUGGAACAGAGAGGUUCGAGUUUGGAGAAACGCCGUACUGCUGGAAGUAAGCAGGGACAGAUAGAGAAAAGAAUAGCGAUAACCCCACGAUUAUGAUGUUCCUCGAGCUUCCAGCUUCACUGUAACGUAA